UACAGAGGUCUCAAGCGUUGUUCGGAUUCAUUGGGCGUAAAGGGUGCGUAGGCGGCGCGGUAAGUCGGGUGUGAAAUCUCGGAGCUUAACUCCAGAACUGCCUUUGAUACUGAAGAUCUUGAGUUCGGGAGAGGUGAGUGGAACUGCGAGUGUAGAGGUGAAAUUCGUAGAUAUUCGCAAGAACACCAGUGGCGAAGGCGGCUCACUGGCCCGAUACUGACGCUGAGGCACGAAAGCGUGGGGAGCAAACAGG
This 253-nucleotide ribosomal RNA is filed under the name uncultured bacterium. RNAcentral describes it as "partial 16S ribosomal RNA". It matches the Rfam family "Bacterial small subunit ribosomal RNA", at positions 524 to 776 of the family's 1533-position model. The record is from RNAcentral.